AAUGCCCAACAUUAUGUCCGCAUUCCAGCCUCAAGAAAGAGGAAAGAAGAAAGGGAGAGCAUGCAACUUUCUUUUAAGGAUGUGACCUAGAAGUGACAUACAUCACUUAGGCUCACAUGCCAUUGGUGGGAACUUAGUCAUAUGGCCACAACUAGUUGCAAGUGAGGCUGGGAUAUGUCAUCUCUAGAUGGACAAUCAUGUACCUCCCAAAAACUUGGGGAUUACUAUUACCAAAAGGAAGAAAGAAAAUAUGAAUGGGUGGGAUUGGCAGUCUCUCAUCAGUAGGAAAGCAUCAUGACUGAUGCUGAGAAACUCUUUGCCCAAGUCUUUAUGGCCUAUAUAUGUAACUCCAUAUUACUGACAGUGUGCAUCACAGGGUGUGGUAGGUGGCUUCUAAAAUGGCCUCAAAUGAUUCCUGUCUCCUGGUACUCAUGCCCUUGUGUAAUCCCUUUUUCUUGAAUGACUUCCUUCAAGUUAAUAGACUGUUGAUAGGCUGCCACUUCUAUGAUUAGAUUAUUAAAGAUGUACCUCCAUUUUCCUAGCUGACUUUAUUGCCUUUGCAGCUUGCAAGCUUUGAUGAAGCAGCCAUGUUGGGGAGGCCCAUAUAGCAAGAAACCAAAGUCAGUCUCCAGGCAAUAGCCAACAAAGAACUGAGGUCCUCAGUCCAAUAGCCCACAAAGAACUGAAUCCUACCAAUAACCACUUGAGUUUGGAAAUGGAUCCCUUACCAAUCGAGCCUUCAGAUUAGACCCCAGCCUUGGCUGACACCUUCACUGUAGCCUUUUAUGUAAGAUCCUGAAGCAGAUGACGCAACUAAACUGUGCCUGGACUUCUGAUGCACAGAACCCGUGAGAUAAUAAAUACUGCCAGCUCCGUGACAGCAAGAACCUUGUAUGACUUUUUCAUGAUGGAUGUUCAUCUGUGCCAUCUGUAAAUAUUGAAUAAAUAUUUGUGGAAUACAUGAAUCUAAAAGUGAAUGGAAUGAUAAAGAGGGAAAGGGUCAUGACAUCUACUACAGCAUUUGGCACAGACCCAGGUUUCCCUGGUACUGGUAAUUCCCAGCAGCUUUCUACAAUUCCAAAGGUCAGAAAUAAACUGCCAAAAAAUUUUUACUAAAUCAUGUUCUGGUCUGGGAUACAGCCCUGAAAUGCACUUUGAGCAAGAAAGACUUUGUAGAGGAGAAAAAAGGUGGACCAAUGAGGAUUGGGCUAGAACCAGAGGAAAGUGAACAUUCUUGGUUUAGAUAAAUAUCCACAACCUUCUAAGGUUUUCAUGUGUACUACAGAGAAGCUCCAGGCUCCUACAUUUCCCUGUGGGUAGUUUUAAAAAGCUACUGUAGCAAAACAGAGGCUGGUGGUGACUACGCUUAUCUUUUAGAAGAGCCAUCAU
Molecule: long non-coding RNA, 1389 nt
Filed under: Homo sapiens (human)
Lineage: Eukaryota; Metazoa; Chordata; Mammalia; Primates; Hominidae
Description: PREDICTED lncRNA (TCONS_00162713)
Source: RNAcentral